GGUCUCCAGUCUUCUUCGGAAAUCUAGGCCCCGCCCACCGCUGCCAAACACCGCAAACCAGAAUUAAAUCACAAAAUACAUUCAUGGUUUUGCUCCAACCACCAUCUUUAAAAAUUUAUUGAUUUUAUAUAUCAAAAGUAAAUAUUCAACGUGCAGAGUCCAAACCGUGUCCUUCGAGAAUUGAAAAAAAAUGGCGAUUGCGAUGACGUCACCUACACAGAUCCGCCAAUGGCGCCAUUUAAGAUGCGGAAUGUGUGAGCUUCGUACCUGGACAAAUGAGCGACGUUAAACAAGACAUGUCUGUGUUGUUGGGGUCCGAAAAACAGGCAGACACCGAGUAUGCACCCUCGUCUUCCUGGUCAAGUAUUUUGGACUUCCGUGGAGCCUUUGGAAGAUGCAAAUAAUGCUGCAAAGGCCCAGUACCAUGCCCCCAAGUGCAAGUAUCAGCCUGAGCCCGAAGGUCCAGUAUUCCUGCGGCCUGCGAAGUGUGCCUCUUGAUCUGCAGUAUUCCCGCGCCCAGCGAAGUCUAACUAAUAAACUGCAGGGUUCCCGCUACCAGCGAACCGGGCCUGUUGAACUGCAGUGGUUCCCGCGACCAGCGAACCGCUCCUGUUGAACUGCAGUGGUUACCGCGACCAGCGAGCCGGGCCUGUUGAACUGCAGUCGUUGCCGCGACCAGCGAACCGUGCCUGUUGAACUGCAGUGGUUCCUGCGACCAGCGAACCGUGCCUUGUUGAGCUGCAGUCUUAUGUGCAACCCAGCUAACUAUGCCUUGUUGAACUGCAGUCUUUGUGAAACCCAGCUAACUAUUGCUUGUUGAACUGCAGUCUUUGUGCAACCCAGCUAACUAUGCCUUGUUGAACUGCAGUC
Doryrhamphus excisus (bluestripe pipefish) is the source of this 870-nucleotide non-coding RNA. NCBI's taxonomy places the organism in Eukaryota, Metazoa, Chordata, Actinopteri, Syngnathiformes, Syngnathidae. The record is from RefSeq and is a predicted model, not a curated record.